UACGUAGGGAGCAAGCGUUAUCCGUAUUUAUUGGGUGUAAAGGGUGCGUAGACGGAGAAGCAAGUUAGUUGUGAAAUCCCUCGGCUUAACUGAGGAACUGCAACUAAAACUACUUCCCUUGAGUACUGGAGAGGAAAGUGGAAUUCCUAGUGUAGCGGUGAAAUGCGUAGAUAUUAGGAGGAACACCAGUGGCGAAGGCGACUUUCUGGACAGUAACUGACGUUGAGGCACGAAAGUGUGGGGAGCAAACAGG
Molecule: ribosomal RNA, 253 nt
Filed under: uncultured bacterium
Lineage: Bacteria
Description: partial 16S ribosomal RNA
Rfam family: Bacterial small subunit ribosomal RNA
Source: RNAcentral